This 554-nucleotide ribosomal RNA is filed under the name uncultured Nitrososphaerota archaeon. RNAcentral's name for it is "bacterial SSU rRNA". It matches the Rfam family "Archaeal small subunit ribosomal RNA", at positions 325 to 879 of the family's 1478-position model. The record is from RNAcentral. Lineage: Archaea; Thermoproteati; Nitrososphaerota.
AUGGGGGGCACCAGGCGAGAAAACUUUGCAAUGUGCGAAAGCACGACAAGGUUAAUCCGAGUGGCCUCUGCUGAAGUGGUCUUUUGACAGUCCUAGAAACACUGUCGAAUAAGGGGUGGGCAAGUUCUGGUGUCAGCCGCCGCGGUAAAACCAGCACCUCAAGUGGUCAGGAUGAUUAUUGGGCCUAAAGCAUCCGUAGCCGGAUCUAUAAGUUUUCGGUUAAAUCUAUGCGCUCAACGUAUAGGCAGCCGGAAAUACUGUGGAUCUAGGGAGUGGGAGAGUGGGAGGGUACUCGGUAGGAAGAGGUAAAAUUCACUAAUCUAUCGAUGACCACCUGUGGCGAAGGCGGUCUACCAGAACACGUCCGACGGUGAGGGAUGAAAGCUGGGGGAGUCAAACCGGAUUAGAUACCCGGGGAGUCCCAGCUGUAAACAAUGCAAACUCAAUGAUGCAUCGGGUUGAACCCGGUGCAGUGUUGCAGGGAAGCCGUUAAGUUUGCCGCCUGGGAAGUACGUACGCAAGUAUGAAACUUAAAGGAAUUGGCGGGGGAGCAC